This 1512-nucleotide long non-coding RNA is filed under the name Chinchilla lanigera (long-tailed chinchilla). RNAcentral's name for it is "lncRNA (ENSCLAG00000029221.1)". The record is from RNAcentral. Lineage: Eukaryota; Metazoa; Chordata; Mammalia; Rodentia; Chinchillidae.
AUGUGUCUGAAAUAUGCAGAGUUGCUGGAGUCUUCCCAGCUGAGCGUGAGGGGCUCUGGGGCCACCGUGAGUGCCCAAGAAGGGGCUGCAGCUGGCACUGAGCAGGAACCAGUGUCCCCAGCAGGAGCCCUGGCUACAUGCCAAGGCAGGCACCUGGAAGGACUUCCGGGCCCAGGACUGUUGAGGCGGACUGCGACGGACACGUACGCCACUGCUCUGUGGAAGCUGGACAGGGCUCCCCACAGGCUUCGUCAGGCCCGCUGCCCACCGCUGUCCUGCCUGGACUUCCCCCGCCCCUCCUGGGGCCACUGGACAGGCGGGGCCAGGAGCUCCUGCCUUCCUGCUGUCAUCACCUUCAUAUUAUUUACGAAGAAAUGGACACUCGGAGUCAUACGAGCACCACGGCUGGAGUUCCAGAGUGAAGCUGCGAUCGAGUUCCAGGAGGGGAGCUUUCCCAGGUCCUCUGUGCCCCUCGCACGCCCAGGGCACCACGGUGCCUGGAAUGCCCAGGCUGGGUGCGAUCCGUGCUGCCCGGGGCCCUGCUGGUGGACGAGUGAGCAGCUGUCCCUCCCAGCUGCUGCAAAACGCAAGGCUGUGAACUUGGGCGUGCAAGGCCCUGGGUUCUGGCACCGUCUGAACCCUGCUCUCCAUCCUCCAGGGCGUGGACCCGGCGGAGGAGCUGCGCUGCGGGGUUGGUGUCUUAGCUGUUUCCCCAGAGCUGAACCCUGUUUUCUCCAGUGGCCGCAUCUUUGCACUGUCAUCCGGCUUGGAAGGAGAUGCGGGACGGGGGACACUGGCCUGGGACUGUGGCCCCACCGUGUGUCCAGCUCGUUUUAGAGCAGCACCCCAGAUAGACCCAUGGGACUCAGAGCCUGCAGCCAGGAGCCGGGAUGUCACAGAGCCAGGGCCCAGUUCCACCCAGGCCGGCAGCUCGAGCCCCAUGUCUCUGUCCACAGUUCAGAGAGAGCUGUAAGACUUGUUCAGUCAAUCGUGACCUGACCUUGCCAAACUUGCCAUAUUUUAAGGGAAACUGGAACUCUGGAUUUCAUGAAAUCCCCUGAUUUAAAGAUGCUAGCACAUAGUUCAGAUUAAAAGGAAGAUAAUGUAGGCACUGCUCAGCAACCAGACGGCAGGGGCCAGGAAGAGCUGGGAGGCGGGGCCAGAGGUGCUCGGUGUGGCAGCUCCAGGACGGACCUGGGAUCUAUCGCUUGUUAAAGGAGGUGUCGGCCUCCAUGUGACCCCAGGUAUCUCAGCAACCUGACCUUUGACAGCAAAUCCGUCGGCCUCUGACCUGCUUUCAGCAUGGACGCAGGAGACUGCCACCCACAGGCCAGGGAGGUGACCGUCUCCACCAGUGCCAGGGCCACCACCACACAGUGUCAGUACCUUGCCACCAGUACCCACGCUCCCGUGGUAAAAGUAAAUAAAAGCAAACAAAACUGGCACUACCAGCGGCUCUAGGCUCACCACAGUGUCCAGCGUGGACUCUGCCACUGCCCCUGCGGAGACCCU